AACGAACGCUGGCGGCAUGCCUAACACAUGCAAGUCGAACGAGACCUUCGGGUCUAGUGGCGCACGGGUGCGUAACGCGUGGGAACCUGCCCUUAGGCUCGGAAUAACUCCCCGAAAGGGGUGCUAAUACCGGAUAAUGUCUUCGGACCAAAGAUUUAUCGCCGUUGGAUGGGCCCGCGUUGGAUUAGCUAGUUGGUAGGGUAAAAGCCUACCAAGGCGACGAUCCAUAGCUGGUCUGAGAGGAUGAUCAGCCACACUGGGACUGAGACACGGCCCAGACUCCUACGGGAGGCAGCAGUGGGGAAUAUUGGACAAUGGGCGAAAGCCUGAUCCAGCAAUGCCGCGUGAGUGAUGAAGGCCUUAGGGUUGUAAAGCUCUUUUACCCGGGAUGAUAAUGACAGUACCGGGAGAAUAAGCUCCGGCUAACUCCGUG
Molecule: ribosomal RNA, 433 nt
Filed under: uncultured bacterium
Lineage: Bacteria
Description: partial 16S ribosomal RNA
Rfam family: Bacterial small subunit ribosomal RNA
Source: RNAcentral